This 345-nucleotide unclassified non-coding RNA is filed under the name soil metagenome. Its description in RNAcentral is "partial contains 5.8S ribosomal RNA, internal transcribed spacer 2, and large subunit ribosomal RNA". The stretch from base 1 to 120 matches the Rfam family "5.8S ribosomal RNA", at positions 35 to 154 of the family's 154-position model. The record is from RNAcentral.
GAUGAAGAACGCAGCGAAAUGCGAUACGUAGUGUGAAUUGCAGAAUUCAGUGAAUCUUCGAGUCUUUGAACGCACAUUGCGCCCCCUGGUAUUCCGGGGGGCAUGCCUGUCCGAGCGUCAUUGCUGCCCUCAAGCACGGCUUGUGUGUUGGGCCUCCGUCCUCCUCCCGGGGGACGGGCCCGAAAGGCAGCGGCGGCACCGCGUCCGGUCCUCGAGCGUAUGGGGCUUCGUCACCCGCUCUUGUAGGCCCGGCCGGCGCUUGCCGACACAUCAAUCUUUUUUCCAGGUUGACCUCGGAUCAGGUAGGGAUACCCGCUGAACUUAAGCAUAUCAAUAAGCGGAGGA